RNAcentral lists this ribosomal RNA (326 nucleotides) under uncultured eukaryote. RNAcentral describes it as "partial 18S ribosomal RNA". It matches the Rfam family "Eukaryotic small subunit ribosomal RNA", at positions 1470 to 1796 of the family's 1831-position model. The record is from RNAcentral.
CCCUUAGAUGUUCGGAGCUGCACGCGCGCUACACUGAAGGAAGCAGCGUGUUAGAGUACCUGGCUUGGAAGAGCUGGGUAAUCCGGUGAAUGUCCUUCGUGAUUGGGAUAGGCACUUGUAAUUAUUUGCCUUGAACGAGGAAUACCUAGUAAGUGCGAGUCAUCAGCUUGCGCUGACUACGUCCCUGCCCCUUGUACACACCGCCCGUCGCUCCUACCGAUCGAAGAGUUAGGUGAAUUGUUUUGAUCGAUAAGAUUUGACUAUGGUCAACUCUCGUUGUGAAAUUCUGUGAAUCUGACUGUUUAGAGGAAGGAAAAGUCGUAACA